This 300-nucleotide ribosomal RNA is filed under the name uncultured Rhodocyclaceae bacterium. RNAcentral describes it as "bacterial SSU rRNA". It matches the Rfam family "Bacterial small subunit ribosomal RNA", at positions 1080 to 1382 of the family's 1533-position model. The record is from RNAcentral. Lineage: Bacteria; Pseudomonadati; Pseudomonadota; Betaproteobacteria; Rhodocyclales; Rhodocyclaceae.
UUAAGUCCCGCAACGAGCGCAACCCUUGUCAUUAGUUGCCAUCAUUUGGUUGGGCACUCUAAUGAGACUGCCGGUGACAACCGGAGGAAGGUGGGGAUGACGUCAAGUCCUCAUGGCCCUUAUGGGUAGGGCUUCACACGUCAUACAAUGGUCGGUACAGAGGGUUGCCAACCCGCGAGGGGGAGCUAAUCCCACAAAGCCGAUCGUAGUCCGGAUCGCAGUCUGCAACUCGACUGCGUGAAGUCGGAAUCGCUAGUAAUCGUGGAUCAGCAUGUCACGGUGAAUACGUUCCCGGGUCUU